This 138-nucleotide small nuclear RNA is filed under the name Chinchilla lanigera (long-tailed chinchilla). RNAcentral describes it as "U4 spliceosomal RNA (ENSCLAG00000020440.1)". It matches the Rfam family "U4 spliceosomal RNA". Rfam says of the family: U4 small nuclear RNA (U4 snRNA) is a component of the major U2-dependent spliceosome. The structure of U4 snRNA from yeast and human has been reported. Lineage: Eukaryota; Metazoa; Chordata; Mammalia; Rodentia; Chinchillidae. The record is from Rfam by way of RNAcentral.
AGCUUUGUGCAGUGGCAGUAUCGCAGCCAGUGAGGUUUAUCUGAGGUGUGAUUAUUGCUAAAUGAAAACUUUUCUAUUGUGUAUAGAACUUAAUUGUGUGUUUCCUAGCUGGCAACUUGUUGCAAAAGAUUUCUUUCU